Molecule: ribosomal RNA, 253 nt
Filed under: uncultured bacterium
Lineage: Bacteria
Description: partial 16S ribosomal RNA
Rfam family: Bacterial small subunit ribosomal RNA
Source: RNAcentral
UACGAAGGGGGCUAGCGUUGCUCGGAAUCACUGGGCGUAAAGCGCACGUAGGCGGCUUGUUAAGUCAGGGGUGAAAUCCUGGAGCUCAACUCCAGAACUGCCUUUGAUACUGGCGAUCUCGAGUCCGGGAGAGGUGAGUGGAACUGCGAGUGUAGAGGUGAAAUUCGUAGAUAUUCGCAAGAACACCAGCGGCGAAGGCGCUGCUCUGGGCCGGUACUGACGCUGAGGAGCGAAAGCGUGGGGAGCGAACAGG